RNAcentral lists this ribosomal RNA (279 nucleotides) under uncultured fungus. RNAcentral's name for it is "partial 18S small subunit ribosomal RNA". It matches the Rfam family "Eukaryotic small subunit ribosomal RNA", at positions 300 to 575 of the family's 1831-position model. Lineage: Eukaryota; Fungi. The record is from RNAcentral.
CAAAUAUCUGCCCUAUCAACUUUCGAUGGUAGAGUAGUGGUCUACCAUGGUUUCAACGGGUAACGGGGAAUAAGGGUUCUAUUCCGGAGAGGGAGCCUGAGAAACGGCUACCACAUCCAAGGAAGGCAGCAGGCGCGCAAAUUACCCAAUCCCGACACGGGGAGGUAGUGACAAUAAAUACUGAUAUCAGGGCUCUCUCUGGGUCUUGUAAUUGGAAUGAGUACAAUUUAAAUCCCUUAAACGAGGAACAAUUGGAGGGCAAGUCUGGUGCCAGCAGCC